AGAGAUGUUGAGAGAUCAACCAGGAGACUGUGGGAGGAUGUGAGCUCUCUGAGAAGGAGAAGAAGUAUUUACAUUAGAAGUCUGAUUCACAGGUCGGGGCAAAGUGAAAAACAUCUGCACUUUUAAAAGGUGAGGACAGUCUGUUCUGAAGGUCUACACAUUAAUGCUUCCUAUUGGGAAUUCAAAUCGGCAAUUUGUUCUUCUUCUGGUUGUUUGAAUCUUCAAAAUAGAGGGAAGACACCUGGAUGAAACAUUUUCACAGACUCUGCAAUUCCCUUAAGAGGAUCCCAGAGCCCUUAAGCUUCUCUUAGAUUCCUCUGAUUUUUUUCAGCCCAAGGACUGUUACCACAUGUCUUCCAUCUUGCCCACAAUUUUAGCAGAUCAUCAGGAUACUUGCCAACAAGGUCACAGUGGACUCCAUGGAGCAACUGCCCUCAGGAGGCAACAGAUGGCUUCACUUGCUUAUUGGCUGAAGGUCUGCAAGGACUCAAUUCACAUAUCUGAUCAUACCUGGAGUCCAGACUUUCUCCUGAUGCCUGACCCCUUUGCCAUUAGGUCGGCUCCGUAUGACUGAGUUCUAGCCAGUGAGGUAUGGGCAGAAGUGAUGUGUACCAAUUGCGAGCUCGACUUUUGAAAUCAUCCCACGUGAUCCUCCUGCCAUCUACCAGCCAUCCUUUUUGAUCUUGAAGGUCUUAUGCCUCAGAUUGUGUAACUACAGGAUGAAGGAAGGCCACUCAACCCACACUUGGACAUGAUGGCUUGCAUAAAUGCUGGGUGUCCCAACACUGGAGCAGGCCCUGAAGAGGAAAAUGUAAAGUGCUUGUUAAAGGUCACAGUGUUUGGACACCGCAUGAACAUGCCAAUUUCCUGUGUUGUAAUAUUUUUAUGCACUUUAAGAAGACCACCAGAAACAGCAGACUGAGGCGCAUAUUGGACAAAAAUCACUUAUCCAAGACCACGUUACUACAACCCCAGGGCACAGAAGCUAAGUCUUCCUAUUGUACUGAACUCAGUUGACUGGAAUUUGUUCAGGAAAGCAUGAAGUCAAAUGGAAGCUAGUCCGUGACUGGAUUCAUCUUUUGGUAAAAAACGAAGAGGAGACCCCAUAUCCUGGAGGUUCUUGCUUAACCCUGUCCCUAAUAAGACCUAACUUUAUGAGUCUUCUCCUUAGAGGCAGUCCUAGGGUAAGAGUGAUUAUUCCUGUGAGCCUUGUAGGUACUUUCGAAUCAAGGAAAUUAGUAGUUGAUUGCUAAUUAAUUCAGUAUUUAAUGAAUUUAAGUACCUAGGCAAUGAGGCCACAAUAGCAAAUAAGACACAGACCUGUUUUCAAAAAGUAGCCUGUAAAUAAGAUAUUUUUUUCUGCCAUGGUGGCAAAGGCAUGACUAUGGUGAUGAACAUUCAUAGGCUCACCUUCUAGCUCUGUUGUAUGUUAACUGUGUGAACUUGGGUCAAGUUAUGAAAACUCUAAGAACUCUCAAAACUCCUGAUCUGUUUUAACAUGAAAGUAAAGAUAUCUAAUUGAAUUGUUGUGAAACUUAAAUGUAAUGUGACAUCCAAAGAAUGUAGCCCAAAGUUGGAUUUCAGUAAGUGAUAAAUAGAAGUAUUUAAACAUGGGUAUGGUAUGUUCUGUAACAGAAGAAUGUCUAUGUGCUGGGGAUACCUAGAGACAGUGAAAAUUCUGUCUGGCCUGCGAAUUAUAAUAAAAUGACUCUUUAAAGUCAA
This 1722-nucleotide long non-coding RNA is filed under the name Homo sapiens (human). RNAcentral's name for it is "long independently transcribed non-coding RNA 1811, transcript variant 11 (LINC01811)". Lineage: Eukaryota; Metazoa; Chordata; Mammalia; Primates; Hominidae. The record is from RNAcentral.